AGGAAAACGCCGCCCCGCUCCUCCCGACGUGCCCGAAAACAGACUGGCCGAGCUUGACGGAUGGACAGACGGAUGGACAGAUGGACAAACCGGCUGGGUCACCCCCUUUCCUCGUGGGUGGGUGGGUGGGUUUGAGGGGGGUUGUCCCCACGGCUGCUGGGGUGGGAUGGGCCUGAUCCGGCCCUCUGGGCGUCGUUAAAUGGAAUGACCUGGGUGCUGUCCGUCUGUCCGUCUGUCCACCUCUCUUCCUGGCCGUCCGUCCAGCUGGCUGUCCUGCUGUCCGUCUGCCUAGCCAUGUGGUCAGUCUGUCCGUUUAUCUGCCUGCCGGUCCGGCCGCCUGUCCGUCUGUCCAUCUAUCCGAUUGCCCGGCCACCCGUCUGUCUGUCUGUCUGUCUGGUCAUGCAACUGUAAGUCUGCCUGUCCGUCUGUCCACCCAUCUGGCUACCUGCCUGUACGUCUGUCCAGCUGUCUGUCCGUCCAUCCCCCCCCCCGCCCCCCCAUCCCGUUGUCCCCCCGCCCUCCUUCCCCCCCCCCCUCAUCCAUUUCUUUCUCUCCGUCCGUCUGUCCAUCCAGCUUUGUCUAGCUCUCCGUCUGUCCAUCUCUGCCCAUCCACCGGGCUCUGUCCAUCUGUCUGUCCAUCUGUACAUCUGUAUCUCCGUCUGACUGUCCUUCCAGCAAGCUGGACGGCCGUCUGUCCCUCUGUCCCACCAUCCAUCUAUCAACCAUUUAUCUGUCCGUCCAUCUGUCCAUCUGCAUCAAGAUGGAUGGAUCUGUCCGUCCAUCUGUCCACCUACAUCAAGAUGGAUGGAUCCACCUAGACCUACAGAUCCAUCUGUCCGUCCACCUCCCUCUCCAUCUGUCCGUCUGUCCGUCCACCCUCUGCUCCUACUACGCAAGUAGACUUCACAUCACGCACACGCAUGCACACGCGUGUGUAAGGAUGUGAGAUUUGGCACAACAUUUGGGAUGCCACCUCCGAGGAGGGGGGACAUUUUGCAGCUCCGGGAGGUCCCCGAGGAUGUCACCAGGCUGGAGGUCCUCGGGGACCUACGUGCCACCUUCUCCUGGUCGCGCCUCCUGAUGAGUAACGCCGCGGAUGCGGGUGAACGAUGGGCGAGGCUACGACCUGGUGCCAACCCCACCGAGCCCUGCGAGUCGGCUCCGGGUCACCCAGGGCAUCUCCACCCUCUGCUGCACGGGGACCUCGGCGAUGCCCAGCCCUUCCCUGGGCGGGUUUGGUGCUGGACACCAGCCAGGAUCCCAGCAGAUCAAGCAACCGGUGCCGUAAUCCCACCAGAUUUCCCUCCUCCACAUGAAACCUGUCCAAGCUCCAGCACGUCCUGGAAGGACCCGUCCUUACGGCUCCUGGAAGGAUUUGGGGCACCCAGGGGUCCUCCAGUGCCACCCCCACCUUGGCCAUCCUUGGCGUUGCAGAGGACCAGAGCCGUGAUUCGGGCGAAGGAACCUCUUUUGCAGAGCUUUUGGGAAAGGAGCUGAGGCUGCCAGCAGCUCGCGGGGCAAUUAGAGCCCCUGCCAAGCAAUUAAGGGUGGAGAGGCCCAGGAGCUGAGCCCUGACGAAAGGAAAGGCCGGGCGGGGAUGAAUCACCUUUCGGAGAUGCUGAUCUCGCUCUCUGCUGGUGGCAGAGGAAGCCCGGGGCUGGGUUUGGUCCCAAACCCGGAGUUGAACCCAGAGCAACCGUU
Molecule: long non-coding RNA, 1701 nt
Filed under: Anas platyrhynchos platyrhynchos (common mallard)
Lineage: Eukaryota; Metazoa; Chordata; Aves; Anseriformes; Anatidae
Description: lncRNA (ENSAPLG00000030374.1)
Source: RNAcentral